RNAcentral lists this ribosomal RNA (461 nucleotides) under uncultured bacterium. RNAcentral's name for it is "bacterial SSU rRNA". It matches the Rfam family "Bacterial small subunit ribosomal RNA", at positions 29 to 490 of the family's 1533-position model. The record is from RNAcentral.
AAUAAACGCUGGCGGCGUGCCUAACACAUGCAAGUCGAGCGAGAAAAGCCUUCGGGCUUAGUAAAGCGGCGGACGGGUGAGUAACGCGUGGGAAUCUGCCUUUCAGUGAGGAAUACCCUCGAGAAAUCGAGGUUAAUACUGCAUACGUCUUGUAAAAGAGAAAGAUGGCCUCUUUGCUGUCGCUGAAAGAUGAGCCUGCGUACUAUUAGCUAGUUGGUGGGGUAAAGGCCACCAAGGCGAAGAUGGUUAGUCGGCCUGAGAGGGUGUACGACCACACUGGAACUGAGACACGGUCCAGACUCCUACGGGAGGCAGCAGUGGGGAAUCUUGCGCAAUGGGCGAAAGCCUGACGCAGCGACGCCGCGUGGAGGAUGAAGGUCUUCGGAUUGUAAACUUCUGUUAAGUGGGAAGAAAGACGAAGUCCUAAUACGACUUUGUGAUGACGGUACCAUUAGAGAAAG